Molecule: ribosomal RNA, 590 nt
Filed under: uncultured bacterium
Lineage: Bacteria
Description: bacterial SSU rRNA
Rfam family: Bacterial small subunit ribosomal RNA
Source: RNAcentral
ACUCCUACGGGAGGCAGCAGUGGGGAAUUUUGGACAAUGGGCGAAAGCCUGAUCCAGCAAUGCCGCGUGAGUGAAGAAGGCCUUCGGGUUGUAAAGCUCUUUUGUCAGGGAAGAAACGGGAGUGGCUAAUAUCCAUUCCUAAUGACGGUACCUGAAGAAUAAGCACCGGCUAACUACGUGCCAGCAGCCGCGGUAAUACGUAGGGUGCAAGCGUUAAUCGGAAUUACUGGGCGUAAAGCGUGCGCAGGCGGUUUUGUAAGUCUGUCGUGAAAUCCCCGGGCUCAACCUGGGAACUGCGUUUGAAACUCCAAAGCUAGAGUAUAGGAGAGGGGGGUAGAAUUCCACGUGUAGCGGUGAAAUGCGUAGAGAUGUGGAGGAAUACCAAUGGCGAAGGCAGCCCCCUGGCCUAAUACUGACGCUCAUGCACGAAAGCGUGGGGAGCAAACAGGAUUAGAUACCCUGGUAGUCCACGCCCUAAACGAUGUCUACUAGUUGUUGGUGGAGUAAAAUCCAUUAGUAACGCAACUAACGCGUGAAGUAGACCGCCUGGGGAGUACGGUCGCAAGAUUAAAACUCAAAGGAAUUGACGG